AUUGAACGCUGGCGGCAUGCCUUACACAUGCAAGUCGAACGGUAACAGGUCUUCGGAUGCUGACGAGUGGCGAACGGGUGAGUAAUACAUCGGAACGUGCCUAGUAGUGGGGGAUAACUACUCGAAAGAGUGGCUAAUACCGCAUGAGAUCUACGGAUGAAAGCAGGGGAUCGCAAGAACUUGUGCUACUAGAGCGGCCGAUGGCAGAUUAGGGAGUUGGUGGGGUAAAAGCUUACCAAGCCGACGAUCUGUAGCUGGUCUGAGAGGACGAUCAGCCACACUGGGACUGAGACACGGCCCAGACUCCUACGGGAGGCAGCAGUGGGGAAUUUUGGACAAUGGGCGCAAGCCUGAUCCAGCAAUGCCGCGUGAAGGAUGAAGGCCUUCGGGUUGUAAACUGCUUUUGUACGGAACGAAAAGCCCCGGGUUAAUACCCUGAGGUCAUGACGGUACCGUAAGAAUAAGCACCGGCUAACUACGUGCCAGCCGCCGCGGUAU
Molecule: ribosomal RNA, 498 nt
Filed under: uncultured bacterium
Lineage: Bacteria
Description: partial 16S ribosomal RNA
Rfam family: Bacterial small subunit ribosomal RNA
Source: RNAcentral